UACGUAGGGGGCAAGCGUUGUCCGGAAUCAUUGGGCGUAAAGCGCGCGUAGGCGGCCCGGUCAGUCCGUUGUGAAAGUCAAAGGCUCAACCUUUGAAUGCCGACGGAUACUGCCGGGCUAGAGUACGGAAGAGGCGAGUGGAAUUCCUGGUGUAGCGGUGGAAUGCGCAGAUAUCAGGAGGAACACCUAUAGCGAAGGCAGCUCGCUGGGACGUUACUGACGCUGAGGCGCGAAAGCGUGGGGAGCGAACAGG
This 253-nucleotide ribosomal RNA is filed under the name uncultured bacterium. RNAcentral's name for it is "partial 16S ribosomal RNA". It matches the Rfam family "Bacterial small subunit ribosomal RNA", at positions 524 to 776 of the family's 1533-position model. The record is from RNAcentral.